This 732-nucleotide ribosomal RNA is filed under the name uncultured bacterium. RNAcentral's name for it is "bacterial SSU rRNA". It matches the Rfam family "Bacterial small subunit ribosomal RNA", at positions 9 to 701 of the family's 1533-position model. The record is from RNAcentral.
GAGUUUGAACCUGGCUCAGGACGAACGCUGGCGGCGUGCCUAAUACAUGCAAGUCGAGCGAGCUUGCCUAGAUGAUUUUAGUGCUUGCACUAAAUGAAACUAGAUACAAGCGAGCGGCGGACGGGUGAGUAACACGUGGGUAACCUGCCCAAGAGACUGGGAUAACACCUGGAAACAGAUGCUAAUACCGGAUAACAACACUAGACGCAUGUCUAGAGUUUGAAAGAUGGUUCUGCUAUCACUCUUGGAUGGACCUGCGGUGCAUUAGCUAGUUGGUAAGGUAACGGCUUACCAAGGCAAUGAUGCAUAGCCGAGUUGAGAGACUGAUCGGCCACAUGGGGACUGAGACACGGCCCAAACUCCUACGGGAGGCAGCAGUAGGGAAUCCUCCACAAUGGACGAAAGUCUGAUGGAGCAACGCCGCGUGAGUGAAGAAGGGUUUCGGCUCGUAAAGCUCUGUUGGUAGUGAAGAAAGAUAGAGGUAGUAACUGGCCUUUAUUUGACGGUAAUUACUUAGAAAGUCACGGCUAACUACGUGCCAGCAGCCGCGGUAAUACGUAGGUGGCAAGCGUUGUCCGGAUUUAUUGGGCGUAAAGCGAGUGCAGGCGGUUCAAUAAGUCUGAUGUGAAGGCCUUCGGCUCAACCGGAGAAUUGCAUCAGAAACUGUUGAACUUGAGUGCAGAAGAGGAGAGUGGAACUCCAUGUGUAGCGGUGGAAUGCGUAGAUAUAUGG